This 253-nucleotide ribosomal RNA is filed under the name uncultured Clostridium sp. Its description in RNAcentral is "partial 16S ribosomal RNA". It matches the Rfam family "Bacterial small subunit ribosomal RNA", at positions 524 to 776 of the family's 1533-position model. Lineage: Bacteria; Bacillati; Bacillota; Clostridia; Eubacteriales; Clostridiaceae. The record is from RNAcentral.
UACGUAGGUGGCAAGCGUUGUCCGGAUUUACUGGGCGUAAAGGAUGUGUAGGCGGAUUUUUAAGUGAGAUGUGAAAUACCCGAGCUCAACUUGGGUGCUGCAUUUCAAACUGGAAGUCUAGAGUGCAGGAGAGGAAAGUGGAAUUCCUAGUGUAGCGGUGAAAUGCGUAGAUAUUAGGAAGAACAUCAGUGGCGAAGGCGACUUUCUGGACUGUAACUGACGCUGAGGCAUGAAAGCGUGGGGAGCAAACAGG